AGAGUAUUUUCUUUCUUGUCCAGAUUAGCUAAAUUGGAUUGUUCUAUGCUAAAUUCACUUAAUCACUACUCUAUUAUUUUUGAAUUUUUUAGUUCUGUUUUUUUCACUUGGUUCUUUUUUUAAAAAAACUUCUACUACCUUUCUGAGACUUCUACUUUUUUACUUUUUUCAAGAAGCUUUAUAAUUACUUGCUAAAGCAUUUUUACCAUGACUGUUUUUAACUUCUUCAGAUAACCACAACAUUUGGUUAAUCUUGAGGUUGGCUUGGUUAACUGUCUUUUCUCAUCCUGCUUAUGAUUUUCCUUCUAAUUGUGAUUUUUCCGGUUCUUGAUAGAUGGGUGAUGUUUUAGUUUAUCCUGCAUUUUUUUUUCCUUUUUAAGUUAGAGGAAUCUGAAUCUAUUCAAAUGUUUUAUUUUAGCAGGCAUGUGCCCUGUUUAGGUUUAAUUUGAAUGUCCUGUCCUACUUUUGUAGGCCAUGUUUUCGCAGGCAGUCUUGCUAUCAGAGCUGAGGGGAUGCUGUUUUGAUCACUUAGUUUAUCUGAUGUUGCUGGGCCUCCAACUGGUGCUGACUGGUACUUCCUGAGAUGGCGAAGGUUUUUCUGUACUCUGAGAUGCCGUGUAUCUCUAUGUAAGGGGAGGAGACUCUGGACCACAGGAAUGAAGAGAACAUCUUAGGUCAGGCAGCUCAAUCAUAUGCGAUAACCUGGGUCAACCAGCCAGUAGCCUCAUGAAGUAUGGGAGGGAAUUCUCCAGUGUCAGCAUUCAAAGACAUCAUGAGUUUUUACUUCUCAUUUUCUUUUAAGUGAAAUAAUCGCAUGGAAAUUAAAGAAUAAAUAUAUGAAAUAUAUGAAACUUAUAUGAAAUAUAAGAAUGUGAGAAGGCCUACAGCGUGGGGAUCCCCAGGCUAUUUGAACAAUGAAUGUCUGUGUUACACAUCUUUGCUCACUUUUUCUCUAUUUUUGUAGUUCAUUGUGGAACCAGCACAGAUUUUCAUACGAAAGUUAUUUCUUUUUAACCUCAAAAAGUGACAGAAUGGAGUGUAUCAUGAAAAAGUCUGACAUCAAAACCUCAAAAUGUGAUAUUGAUUGGGUGAGAUAGAAUUCCAUGGAAUUUCAUUGCCAAACCAGUGAAGUGCUAAUUUUGACAUUUGUACCAGCUAACGUAGCUGUGAAGAAACACACCAAUACACUUCUAAGGACAGCAUAGACCAAGAUCUAGGUUUCAUAUGGAUGAAUUUAUUCUUCCCUUUGAGGCAAGACAAGAAGGAAAGAAAGUAUUGGGAAUAAUGCUGCCCUCCCAUCCUCAAGGGCCAGUGGGAACUCUAAUAUUGAUUGGGUGAGAUACAAUUCCAUGGAAUUUUACCACUGAACCAGUGGAGGGCUAAUUUUGUCAUUUGUACCAGUUAACUAACUUGGGAGGAAACAGAACAACACACUCCUGAGAUUGGUUUUCACAGAAUUCCAUGGACUUUAACUGCUGAACCAAUGAUGCACUGAUUUUGUCACUUGUACCAGCUAACGCAUCUGGGAGGCAACAAAACAAUACUCUCCUGAGGUUAAUGUGGACCAAAAACUAGAUUUCAUAUAAAAGAGUUUAUUCCUUCUACUUGAGGUGUGACAUGAAGGAAAGUAAUGGAAAUAAUUCUGCCCUCCCAUUCUCAAGGGCCAGGGGGAAUUCAAAUAUUGAACGGAAGUGAUUUUGGAAUUGCAUGGAAUUCUCACUGCCAUCCCAAAGAAAUGCUGAUCUUGUCACUCUUACCUGUUUCAUUCCCUGGGGGCAGAACAAAAGGACGCACUCCAAAGAUCGGCAUGAACCAAGAACUGGGUUUCAUAUAAAAUAUUUUAUUCUGUCCUCUUGAGAUGUGACAUGAGAAAAGUAUUGAGAAUACUUCUAUCACCUCAUCUUCAAGAAUCCGUAGGAAUUCUCCCAUGGUAAGCAUUUUGUCCUGAAAAUACUGGCAUUCCUCUUAGGAGAUCGUGACACUCCAAUGACCAUGAGACCCUGGCCAUGCUAGUCAGCCAUUGGCCAGUCAUUGACUGUGAUGCCAGUCUCCAUAAUUGAAUGAAUAGUGUGGGUCAGUGUACCCCAAGCUGAUGGAAAGCUGUGUGCUCAGUGUCUGUCACAUAUCCCAGGCUUAAGGUACCUUUUAUAAAUGUACCUGGAUUGACGAUGACUUUAAAAAAAAAAAAUCUCAUUGAAAUCUGAAAAAAAUGAGUGACCAAACCACUUCUGUGAGCUGAGGUCCAGCACACAUGAUAGGCAAACGUGGAGGGAUGUGGAUGGUCAGUGCCCACAGGGACUGGGGUAUUUGAAAGCUAAUCUGCCUGCGUAUGUUAGAGGAAAUGAAUUGGACAGUCAUCUAUAAAUAUCGUAUUUUUUAAUAAAAUGGCUAUUCCUUUGGUGCUUGGCUGGUAGCAUCCAUCCACUGGUAGUAAAUAGACCCUGGAAAACCAGCACAUAUGUAGUGAGACCCCAUGAGACAUGAUUGUGCCUACCUUUGAGCCAUCCAUAAGUUAUCUGGGACAUGACAGUCUUUUGAGUGAGAGCAGUUUACUAAGGUCAUUUAGAUCAUCAGUUCCAAAGAUGGUGUGGAUCUUAUCGAUUAUUUUUUUAGGCAGAGGUAAUAUCUGGAAAAUUAAGAGUGAUUUCUAACCAUGAGAAUAUUUUAGUUUGUUUAAAUUUGCUUGCUAACCCAGUACCAAGAAUUCAGACCUUUUUUCUGUCUGUAUAAAGCAAUAUUCUAGACAUUUGAGUGAUUCAAGUAGAUGUUGUGAGAUGAUUACAUUUCCAGUCCUUGGAAUGUUAUGUGGAUUUUAUUGGCUAAUCUUCAUAUUUCAUCAGUGGAUUUUCCUAUGCAUGUUAAGGGAGAUCCUUGUUAAUUGAUGUCUAGGUGGACUUUACGGUUAACCUGAACAGGUCUUGGAAAAAGGACUUUAAACAUUCUCCUGUUCUGUGGAAUAAGUAUACUUUUUUCUGGACAUACACCUUGUCAGUGAGUUCCAUGUGAUACUAGAGUUGCAUAGAUUUUUAACCUUUACGCCAAUGAAGAUCUGAGGCAAACAUUGCCCCUUUUUUAGAAGUUUGCAUUUGUCACUGAUAACUGUAAUAAUUGAUCUUGUUGAAAAGCCUGGGAAAUGAAGAUCUGAUAUGUCACUUUUACCGGCUUCCUCAACUGAAAAAGAAUACAAUGAAACACGCUGAGAAUUUUUGUGCUUUCUCAGUCUUGCUGAUGAUCUUUCUAUGGGCCUGAAGCGUGGAGAGUGCCAGAGAGGCUGAUCCUCAGCAGUGUGGCAGAGGAAAGUUGGGUGCGACUAAGGGGUAUGCGGUGCCCACAUGCCACUGGGUCCUCAGCAGUACCACCUGAUUGGAAGUGAUAUUGGUGGAAGACAACAUUUUGCCGCUUGGAAUUCUCACCUCCACACCAAAGAAGUACUGUUUUUGUCAUUUGCACCAGCUUCUUUCUCCAGGAAAGAUCAAAACGAUGCACUGCAAGGUUAACAUCCAAUUUUUAAUACAUGUAAUUCCCUGGAUUAUUUUUGUUGUGUUAUUAAAUAACUUAGAAUUUUUUUUACAAAGUCUGUUGAACCAAACACUGUAAGGCAUUAAUAACCUGGUGAGUUAUUUGAGGCCUUUUUUCCUCUCCUAGAAUUUUUGCACAAUUUAUAUUUUGAAUAAUAUCAGAGACAUCCUAGUAGAGUAAUGAAUUAGUACAUUUUAUAUGCAGAUACAUAGUGAAGCCUCCUUUCUUAUGCAUAUUUGACAAAUGGACAUGUAUAUUUCUCAUCUUCCCAUAUUUUUACUCCAUUUCCACAGGUCAUGUAGACCAAAAUGUGAAUGUCAUAUGAAAGAGUUUAAACAUUGCCCUUGAAAUAUGACAGAAAGUAUCAGAAAUAAUUAUACCAUUCCAUGCUCACAGGCCAGUGGGAAUUCUCACAGUAAGCAUUUUGUCCAGAGAAUAUUCUUCUUAGGGAACUAUAACAUUCCAAUGAUAAUGGUAGUCAGCCAUGUGGCUGGAUCAUCGUUCCUGUAUCCUGGUCUCUAUGACUUAGUGUGGUGAUGGUGUCAUUGUGUCCAAGUGUGACAGAAUUGUUAGUGUGUAGUGUCUGUCUCCUAUCUCAGGCUCACAGUCCCUUUUAUAAACAUGCCUGGAUUGAUGAUGGCUUCAGUAUCUUUUGGAAAUCUGGACUGAGCAAUAGAAUUGCUUCUCUCAAAUUGAUUUCAAGUCAUAUAAAAGGCCAUGUUACACAUAUAUUGUUAAUCUGAGGGAGGCUGUGAUCAUUUAAGUUGUAUUUUAUAAACACUAGGACCACCAGUAAGAAAACAAUUCAAAAAAUAUUAAAAGAACAACCAAAGAAUUAAAAUAGAAUAACCGAAAAGAUCUGUUUAACACAAAAGAAGGCAGUUAAAGAUGAACAGAGGAACCAAUAAGACAUAUAGAAAACAGAUAGGAAAAUGACAGACAUAAACCCAGCCAUAUGACAAUUAUAUUAAAUUUUUAAGAGAUUAGGAAAUUCCGUUGUUUUUUAAACAUGAGCAACUAUACGCUGUCUACAGAAGAGACACUUUAGAACAAAAGAUACAAAUAGUUGGAAAGUAAAAAGAUGGAAAAAGCUAUAUCCAGCGAAUCCAGAAGAGAGCAGAAGUGGCUAUUCUGACAUCAGAAAAAAGAGACUUUAAGAUAAAGUAUUGCUAGAGAGGAAGAAGGAUAGUAUUUAAUGAUAGAAGGGUUAAUAUGGAAUAUGUAACAAUUACAAUCAUAUCAGCACUAACAACAGUGCCCAAAACUACAUACACUGAAAUUUAACAUGAUUGAGGGGAUCAAUAGGCAAUUCAACAAUAAAAGCUUUUGUUCAUACCCUCUUCUUAAUCAGUGAUAAGUCAAUUAGAUAGAGCAUCAUUGAGGUUACAACAUACUUCAGCAAUGUUGUCAACCAAUUUGACCUGAGAUAGAUAGAUAGACAGUUAGACAGACAGACAGACAGACAGAGAAAACUUCACCCAACAACAGAAAUACAAAUUAUUUUCAAGCAUACCUGGAACAUUCUCCAGGAUAGAGUAUAUGUUAGGCUAUAAAACUGUACUCAAUAAAUUUAAGAUUGAAACCAUGUAGAGUAUGUUGUGUGACCAUAGAGGAAUUAGAAAUCAACACAGAAAUAAAUUUGGAGGUCACAAGAUAUUUGGAAAUUAACACACUUUACAGAGCCCAUUGGUCAAAAAUAUAUAUAUUAAACUAGAAAGGCCGGGGGUGGUUGCUUACACCUGUAAUUCCAGCACUUUGGGAGGCGUAGGUGGGCACAUCACUUGAGGCCAGGAGUUCAAGACCAACCUGGGCAACAUGGCAAAACCCCAUCUCUACAAAAAAAUACAAAAAAUGAGUUGAGCAUGGUGGUGCAUGCCUGUAGUCCCAGCUACUCAGGAGGCUGAGGUAGGGGAAUCACCUGAGCCCAGCAGGUAGAAGCUGCAUUGAACCAAGAUUGCACCACUGCAUACCAGCCUGGGCGACAAAGUGAGACCCUGUCUAAAAAAUAAAAGGAAUCCAGAAAACAUCUUGCAUAGAAUUUGAUACAACUAAAGACAUGCUUAGAGGGAUAUUUAUAGUUUUAAAUAACUGUAUCAGAAAAAAAGGGAAGAUAAAUAAAUGACAUAAGCUUCCACCUUAAGAAACAAGAAAAAGACUAAACUAGAAGAUGAAAUCCAAAGCAAGCAGAAAGAAGUAAACAAUAGGGAUUGGAGCAAAAAUUGAUGACAUAAAAAACCAGACAAAAUACAGAGAAAAAUCCAUGAAACCAAAAGUUGGGUUUGUGCAGAGAUUUGUGAAAUUUACAAUCCUUUAGCUAGACUGACACAGAUCAUUAGAAUUAGGAAUGAUGGAGACAACAUCACUACUGACCCUAUAGAUUGGAUCAGGAAUGUCGCUGUUUGCUGCAUUGUGCUUUCUUGAGGGGAGAGCUAUGAAGGAAAACAAAGUUCUCAUUGCACUUACAACUCAACAACACAGCGUUGACAUUUUGAUUCUCACUGGCUUCAGUGCUCAUCUCUGUGAGGUUUCCAGAAGAUCCCGUAGCAAUAUCACUCAUUCUAAAUUUAUCUUUGGGCUACUCUGGGAACGCUGUCUAUGGGUUAGCCCUGCUCUGCAAGGAGCAGUAAGAAAAUAUAUAUAUAUUUUUUGAGGCUGAGUCUCGCUCUAUCGCCCAGACGGGAGUGCAGUGGCACGAUGUUGGCUCACUGCAACCUCCACCUCCAGGGUUCAAGCGAUUCUCCUGCCUCAGCCUCCCAAGUAGCUGGGAUUACAGGCACGUGCCACCACACACCGCUAAUUUUUGUGUUUUUGUAGAGACAGGGUUUCACCAUGUGGGCCAGGCUGGUCUCAAACUCCCAACCUCAGGUGAUCUGCCCUCCUUGGCCUCCCAAAGUGCAGGGAUUACAGGCAUGAUCCACUGUGCCUGGCAAGUAUGUUUGUAGCCAGUGGGGAAUUAUUUUAACUAGGCAAUAAUUUGAUCUAUUUUGGGAAGCCUCUUGUAAUCAAAUCAUAUAUCAACAUUAAUCACAUGGUGAGUCCUCCAUGGUUUUCAUUCCUAGAGAUUCUAGGAUGUUUGACAUUUCUCUGCUUAGCUUAUAGCAGAAAGGUAUUGGAUAUCAAGAAUGUUUGAACAGUUUCUCCUUUUUGGGAAUGAAGAUGAAAUUGGGCUAGAAUGAGAUGUGUGAUUGAGAGAAUGUCCCUGAGGCCUGAGCAGUGUGUCCUUUUGGGUAUGGGCAUUGGAAGCAUGUAGUGAAUUCUUAUAAUUUUAUGUUGCCUCGGCAUCCAUCUUGAGUAUAAGUUUAACUUUGUUAUACCAGAAGCAAGGCUUACUCACUUUUGCACAGUUUCCAGUUCUACACCUCCUUC
This 6885-nucleotide long non-coding RNA is filed under the name Homo sapiens (human). RNAcentral describes it as "HSALNT0380139". The stretch from base 2160 to 2244 matches the Rfam family "Small nucleolar RNA SNORD116". Lineage: Eukaryota; Metazoa; Chordata; Mammalia; Primates; Hominidae. The record is from RNAcentral.